Caenorhabditis elegans is the source of this 145-nucleotide non-coding RNA. Lineage: Eukaryota; Metazoa; Nematoda; Chromadorea; Rhabditida; Rhabditidae. The record is from Ensembl.
CCUUAUUCCGUAUUUGGCAACGAUCGGCUGUUUCUCAAGAUUUCCCUGAACAGUUUAUCGGAAGGAGGAAAAUAAGUGAGAACAACCAUCCCCGGUUGCUCUCUCUCUCUUUGCAUUGUUUUUCCGGUUUUGUCUCAUCAUCACG